RNAcentral lists this ribosomal RNA (538 nucleotides) under uncultured eukaryote. RNAcentral describes it as "bacterial SSU rRNA". It matches the Rfam family "Eukaryotic small subunit ribosomal RNA", at positions 1106 to 1655 of the family's 1831-position model. The record is from RNAcentral.
UUCGGGUUCCGGGGGGAGUAUGGUCGCAAGGCCGAAACUUAAAGGAAUUGACGGAAGGGCACCACCAGGAGUGGAAUCUGCGGCUUAAUUUGACCCAACGCGGGAAAACUCACCAGGUCAGGACACGGUAAGGAUUGACGGACUGAAGGCUCUUUCUCGAUUCCGUGGAAAGUGGUGCAUGGCCGUUUUUGGUUGGUGGAUCGAUCCGUCUGGUUAAUUCCGUUAACGAACGAGACCUCGGCACUCCGAAUAGCGCGGCGGACGUCGCGGCCUCCGGGCCGUCUUCCGCACGAGCUUCUUAGAGGGACCGUCCCCCGCCGGGGAAGGAGGUGCGAGGCAACGACAGGUCUGUGAUGCCCUUAGAUGUUCUGGGCCGCACGCGCAUUACACUGACGCGUCCAACGGGUGACUCCCGACCCGAAGGGGCCGGGGAAUCCGCAAGGCGCGUCGUGAUGGGGAUUGAACGUUGCAAUUGUUGUUCACGAACGAGGAAUUCCUAGUAGGCGCGGGUCAUCAACCCGCGCCGAUUACGUCCCUG